UAGGGAAUAUUGCGCAAUGGGCGAAAGCCUGACGCAGCAACGCCGCGUGAGUGAUGAAGGCCUUCGGGUUGUAAAACUCUGUCAGAUGGGAAGAACCCUGACCGAUUUAUAAGAUCGGACAGCUGACGGUACCAUCAGAGGAAGCUCCGGCUAACUCCGUGCCAGCAGCCGCGGUAAUACGGAGGGAGCUAGCGUUGUUCGGAAUUACUGGGCGUAAAGGGCGCGUAGGCGGUGGUGUAAGUCAGAUGUGAAAACCAUCGGCUUAACCGAUUGGAUUGCAUUUGAUACUGCAUCACUUGAGUUCAGUAGAGGAGAGUGGAAUUCCCAGUGUAGCGGUGGAAUGCGUAGAUAUUGGGAAGAACACCAGUGGCGAAGGCGGCUCUCUGGACUGACACUGACGCUGAGGCGCGAAAGCUAGGGGAGCGAACAG
This 430-nucleotide ribosomal RNA is filed under the name uncultured bacterium. RNAcentral describes it as "bacterial SSU rRNA". It matches the Rfam family "Bacterial small subunit ribosomal RNA", at positions 355 to 775 of the family's 1533-position model. The record is from RNAcentral.